GCGGGUGUGGCGGAAUUGGCAGACGCACUGGAUUUAGGUUCCAGCGGGAAACCAUGUGGGUUCAAAUCCCACCAUCCGCACCA
RNAcentral lists this transfer RNA (83 nucleotides) under Candidatus Sumerlaeota bacterium. Its description in RNAcentral is "tRNA-Leu". It matches the Rfam family "tRNA". Rfam says of the family: Transfer RNA (tRNA) molecules are approximately 80 nucleotides in length. Lineage: Bacteria; Candidatus Sumerlaeota. The record is from RNAcentral.